This 77-nucleotide transfer RNA is filed under the name Flavobacteriales bacterium. Its description in RNAcentral is "tRNA-Ala". It matches the Rfam family "tRNA". From Rfam's summary of the family: Transfer RNA (tRNA) molecules are approximately 80 nucleotides in length. The record is from RNAcentral. Lineage: Bacteria; Pseudomonadati; Bacteroidota; Flavobacteriia; Flavobacteriales.
GGGGGAUUAGCUCAGCUGGCUAGAGCGCUACACUGGCAGUGUAGAGGUCACCGGUUCGACUCCGGUAUUCUCCACCC